Molecule: ribosomal RNA, 465 nt
Filed under: uncultured bacterium
Lineage: Bacteria
Description: partial 16S ribosomal RNA
Rfam family: Bacterial small subunit ribosomal RNA
Source: RNAcentral
CUACGGGACGCAGCAGUGGGGAAUAUUGGACAAUGGGGGAAACCCUGAUCCAGCAAUGCCGCGUGUAUGAAGAAGGCCUGCGGGUUGUAAAGCACUUUCGGUUGGGAGGACUGCUUCUAGCACUAAUAUUGUUGGAAGUUGACGUUACCUUCAGAAGAAGCACCGGCUAACUCCGUGCCAGCAGCCGCGGUAAUACGGAGGGUGCAAGCUUUAAUCGGAAUUACUGGGCGUAAAGCGCGCGUAGGCGGCUAGAUCAGUCGGGUGUGAAAGCCCCGGGCUUAACCUGGGAACUGCAUCCGAUACUGUCUAGCUUGAGUACAGGAGAGGAGAGUGGAAUUCCACAUGUAGCGGUGAUAUGCGUAGAUAUGUGGAGGAACACCAAUGGCGAAGGCAGCUCUCUGGCCUGAUACUGACGCUGAGGUGCGAAAGCGUGGGGAGCAAACAGGAUUAGAUACCCGAGUAGUC